Triticum dicoccoides is the source of this 1173-nucleotide long non-coding RNA. RefSeq lists it as uncharacterized. The record is from RefSeq and is a predicted model, not a curated record. The transcript has 5 exons. NCBI's taxonomy places the organism in Eukaryota, Viridiplantae, Streptophyta, Magnoliopsida, Poales, Poaceae.
UGUCGCUUGCCCCUCCCCCUCCAUCGCCCCUCCCCCAACCAAUCUUGCCCACACCGCAGAUGCAUCCUCCGCCCCAAACGACGGCGAUAGGGAUGCCGACGCCCUAACCCACGUCUCCUUCCACCUCCCCCAACUCGUCUUCUCGCCGGCUACUUUGGAGGAGCCUCCUUUUGCACGCCACCGUGGCCGGGCUGCGGCGACCACCAGAGGUCCGCCGCCGCCAGGAUCUCCCUCCUUCUCCACUACGAGGCACCAGCAGAGGGGGGCGACUCCUCCUUCCAUCCCUAGUCGCGGCCUCCAACCUCUAACGCCGCUUGAAACCCUAGCCCGAAUCCGGCAGAGGCAGUUGAAGGAAGGGGGCGGGCCAUGGACAAGCUGCAAGGUGGGGGCCUGAAGCCAUGGAUGGAUGUGUUUGGGACGGUGAGGAGGCACCCAACCGAGCGGCGGGCAAGGAUGAAGUGAAGUUGAGCGCACCGUCGUUAUAUCCCUUCUCCGUCUGCUGUUACUGGAAGCAAGCACAGUACCAUCUCAUCUCAUCCACUAGAAGCUAUUUUUGGCUUACCCGAAGGGAUGCAUGCUCUUCAUCUUGCAGGUAUGACUCAUCCUCGCAUUCUUACUUCGCCUUUGUUUCCUUCAGCUUAUUGAUCCUGAAAUUUUAAGAUAAGUUAAGGAGGGGACUCGGCCUUCUUCACGGCUCGCGGCAGUGUCUCUCGUUGAUUUGUUCGUGCAACAAGGAGGGGACCCGCCCUUCUUCAUGUCUUGUGCAACUAGGGUGAUCGACGCGGACUACCGCUGCCCGGUGGGCGUCGUGCUCUUCAACCACUCGGAGGUGGACUUUGCCGUGAAGUCCGGUGACCGCGUCGCACAGAUGAUCGUCCAGGUGAUCGCGACGCCGGAGGCCGCUGAGGUGGAGGACCUCGAUAGCAUCAUUUGGGGGGAGGGAGGAUUCGGGUCCACUAGCGUCUGAACUCUGAGCCUUCGUAAAUACAUCUAGAGAAGUUGUAUGUUUAGGCUACUGGUGGAACACUAGGAAAGGUACCUACCUUUGGUUGUGUGUGUUUACUAUUAAAUGGAAUCACAUGAUCUCUUGUGGUUGAGAUGUUCAAUGUUGCAUCCAUGAACGGUGCAAGUGUUAAGAUGGUCAUGUGACCUUAAUUUAUUUUGCAUUGGACA